RNAcentral lists this non-coding RNA (30 nucleotides) under Mus musculus (house mouse). The record is from RNAcentral. Lineage: Eukaryota; Metazoa; Chordata; Mammalia; Rodentia; Muridae.
UCNCCAUGUGGCGAUGUGACUUGCAGAUGC